UACAGAGGGUGCAAACGUUGUUCGGAAUUACUGGGCGUAAAGCGUGUGUAGGCGGCUUUGUAAGUCGGGCGUGAAAGCCCCGGGCUCAACCCGGGAAGUGCACUCGAUACUGCAGAACUUGAGUUUCGGAGAGGUUGGUAGAAUUCUUGGUGUAGAGGUGAAAUUCGUAGAUAUUGGGAAGAACACCGGUGGCGAAGGCGGCGACCUGGUCCUUGACUGACGCUGAGGCGCGAAAGCGUGGGGAGCAAACAGG
Molecule: ribosomal RNA, 253 nt
Filed under: uncultured bacterium
Lineage: Bacteria
Description: partial 16S ribosomal RNA
Rfam family: Bacterial small subunit ribosomal RNA
Source: RNAcentral